Molecule: non-coding RNA, 1135 nt
Organism: Sus scrofa (pig)
Lineage: Eukaryota; Metazoa; Chordata; Mammalia; Artiodactyla; Suidae
Source: RefSeq, a predicted model, not a curated record
UUAUUUGUUUCACGUGUCCAACACUGGGCUACGCCCUUGGUAUUCACUAUCUCAUUUAUUCCUGGAAAUAACUCCAAGAGUUAGGUGUUGUUACUCUCAUUUAACAGACAAAGAUAUUGAUCAUCGCAGAGGCCAAAGUACAUAGCUUGCGUAAAGACACACAAAUCAGGAACUGAACGUGGAUUCUGACUACACCAAAAUGCACUAUUCCCCACGAAGAUGACAAGAGCUGUUUACAGCCUUUAUGUCCACUGUGCCAGUAUAUUCUCACAGAGUGAGGCAAGAGGCUUAGUAAUAUCCCUCUUUACAAAUGUGGAAGCUGAGGCACAAAAGAGUCCUGCAAUUUAGGUAACUUCCCAUAUUAAGUGAGGACAGAGCAAAGUCCUACCCAGAGGCAUUUCCUACUUUAGGCAUGGCGUCACUGUCGCCCAGGAAAUCUGUGAACUUAGUGGGCAUUUCAGUUGAACCAAUGCACACUAAACAUGUGUCCCAGCGGCUGCCCCAUUGCCCAAAGUGAGGACAGACCUGUCCUUCAAAGACUAAAAUCCUGUUUAGAACAACAAUUCAUAGACACUUUGAGGACCACUGCUUGUACUUGCUCUGGUCAUCUGUAUACCCUUUCCCUCUUGUUUUCCUCUAUUCAUUUUUCUCCCUUGAACUCCUUAUCUUCUAAUCCCUCCUCCUGAAUGCUCUUAUUUUAUCUCUCCCUCCACUUUUAUCUUUUCCUCCAGGUCGCCUGAGUCUAUCUUCUCCCCAGGUCAGGCUCCCCAGGCUUUCUUGGCCCCCUGACCCCUCCUUCCUCUCCCAGGACUGUAUUUCCCCUGCCUCUCACUUGCCUCCCAGCAACCUAAGCAGAACAAUACUGGAAGUGGAACUGGCACUCUGACAAAAAGGAGAGCAAUUGGAAAGAAAACUUUACUCAUCAAGAAAGAGGCAAGUAUCUUAAAAAUAUCUGUGGGAAGGUGUUUGCUAAAUCAUCUGCUUCUUCAGAUGUAAACUUUCAACAGUAUGAGUUCCACUGGGAUGGAGAUAGACAAGAAGUGCCUUCUUGGGCUGGAUGACUGAGCAGAUGCGAGGAACUAGAGACCCCGAUAACUUAGCCGUGAAUAAAAUUCAAGAGUUGUUUCCCUCUUUA